Oncorhynchus tshawytscha (Chinook salmon) is the source of this 382-nucleotide long non-coding RNA. NCBI's taxonomy places the organism in Eukaryota, Metazoa, Chordata, Actinopteri, Salmoniformes, Salmonidae. The record is from Ensembl.
CAGAGACAGAAGAAAAGAGAGAAGGACAGAACAGAGGAGGACAAGAACAGAGUGAGAGUCAUGUUGAUGUGACUCCACAGUGCAGUGAGGUAGCUCUCCUGAAGAGGAAGCUGUCCUUCACACAACAUCAGCUGGAAUCCCUGAAGAAAAGGCUUGUCGAGGCGCUGAAAGAAAACUACAACUUGAGACUAACCAGCCUGAAGCAGGACUCCUCUACCACUGCAGAGACCAACUGUGGCAGGCAUUGGGACAGGUGUCUACAGAGACAGGUGCUAGUUCUGAGAGAGCAGGAGACACACCUGAGACAACUGGAGCAGACCAUUGUGCUUCUACAGGGCAAGCACAGGUCAAUACACACACACACACACACACACACUCACAC